Molecule: unclassified non-coding RNA, 1046 nt
Filed under: Hevea brasiliensis (rubber tree)
Lineage: Eukaryota; Viridiplantae; Streptophyta; Magnoliopsida; Malpighiales; Euphorbiaceae
Source: RNAcentral
UGCCCUUAUAGCCGGUACCAACGUUGACUCCGCCGUGGCCAACGUUGACACUUGUUCCGCCGCCGGGUUUCUUGUAGCCUGUGUGGACGUUCACCCCGGCAAAUCCCCCUUCUUCUACAAUUAUGCCGCCACAGAAACCCAAAUCCACGACGAUCCUCGUGUCACCCUCUUCUUCUUGGAGAAGGACCUCCACGCCGGGACAAAGAUGACUCUCCACUUCACCCGGAGCAGCGGUGCCACCACCUUCCUCCCCCGUCGUGUGGCCGACAGCCUUCCAUUCUCCUCCGAGAAACUGCCGGAUAUUCUCAGCCGCUUCUCCGUCGAACCAAAUUCCGAAAAAGCAGAAGCGAUGAGGAAGACUAUCAAAGUGUGUGAGGAGCCUGCGGCAGAGGGGGAGCAGAAGGUCUGUGCCACCUCGCUCGAGUCGAUGGUAGACUUCAGCACUGCCAGCCUGGGGACUCGUGAUCUCCGUGCUGAAUCUACGAUGGCUGGACAGGGAGCGGAGGUUGAGCAAGAGUAUACAGUGGCGCCGGCUGGAGUUCAAAAGAUGGCCGGAUCGGAGCUCGUGGCAUGCCACUUGGAGUCCUAUCCCUAUGCUGUGUUCUUCUGCCAUUCGACGGAGAAGACGACUGCUUACAAUGUGGAGAUGGUCGGAGAGAAUGGAGCGAAGGUGAAGGCGGUGGCAGUGUGCCACGCUGAUACGGCAGGGUGGAACCCAGAGCAUGUGGCCUUCAAGGUGCUGAAAGUGAAGCCAGGAACGGUGCCAGUGUGCCACUUUGUGCCGGAGGAGCAUGUUGUGUGGGCUCACAAUAAUUAGGGCUGGCUCUGAUUCUAUGAGGACGCUAUGGCUACUCAGGCUUGAUUAAGUUGGUGUGUUUCGUACAGGGAUGACUCGCUCUACUGUGCUUCUACUUAUACUGUGUAUGAAGUUUGUUGUCUUUGAAGUCACAAGCCUUAUGGGCGUAUACGGAUCUCUUGUGUAAUAUAUGAUAGCAUCGCCUAAGUUAAAGGAUUUAUGCAUUUUCUAAAUAAAAUAUGCCCUUUAU